RNAcentral lists this ribosomal RNA (308 nucleotides) under uncultured eukaryote. RNAcentral describes it as "partial 18S ribosomal RNA". It matches the Rfam family "Eukaryotic small subunit ribosomal RNA", at positions 1470 to 1796 of the family's 1831-position model. The record is from RNAcentral.
CCCUUAGAUGUUCUGGGCGGCCCGCGCACUACAAUGGCGUGUGCAGCGAGUGCCGAAGUAGAGUUUUCCGAGGUAUUCUUGCAAUGCUCGUUUUGAUGGGGAUAGACCCUUGCAACUGUUGGUUUUGAACGAGGAAUUCCUUGUAAGCAUGGUUUAUCAUCCGACGCUGAAUGCGUCCCUGCCCUUUGUACACACCGCCCGUCGCUCCUACCGAUUGGGUGAGCCGAUGAAACUCUCGGAUGUAGGCUAUUCAUAGCCCGCAGAAGAGAUUUGAAUCGUAGCGCUUAGAGGAAGGAGAAGUCGUAACA